UUGUGCAUAGAAAGUACCUAUCACCACCCAUUGAAUGAAACAGACUCAAUGUCUGCUUGGUGAUGUUGAAAGGAUGGGAGACAAUGACCCCCUUUCUGUGAGAACACCAUUAUCCAGAAGCGGGCCUGGUUCCACGGGGCUCUGGGGGAGCCUGGACUGGAAAUACUUCAGAUUUCCUGACAUGAAGGACAUCCUCGGCAGUGGGUUUUGGGAUGCAUGGAGACAGCUCUCGAACCCCUGUGUUUACACUCCAGUUCUUUGUUCUUAAGCGGGCUUUGAGAUAAUGAUUGGCAGAGAGCACCCACCUUCUUCCUGUAGAGGUGGCUGGAGGCUACAGCUGCGAGGCAAACUAGACAUAAAUUCCUGAGGAGUUUACCAGUUGCCUCCUGGAACACUAUUGGGCCAAUUGUGGCAAUCUUUCUACUUACUAUCAGAUCUGUUCACUGGGAGAAGUCCUGGGCCACAAAUAUCCAGUAGUCCCCAAGGAGUCAUCUUCAUCGGCCUCUUCAACAUGUCAUGACUUGGCAGGCACUGUAUGCAGAUGUGGAUGGGUCAUGGCCCAGUUCCUCUGGAGAUGGAAGUGCUGUAGCAGGAUUCCAAAUGCAGCCCGACAGUGACUUUCUACUCACGGCCAAUCAGAUGGCAUCAAGUGACACCCAGGAGAGGCAGAGUGAGGCACCCUGCUGCUGGGUAAGCAGGAGAUUGCUUGCCAAAGAAAGACUGUGCAACAAGAUAGGGAAUCGGCCUAGGUUAGGAGAGAGGCUUCUCUGGAUGACACCAAACUGCCAGGGAGUAGAGCAAGAAACAUGCUGUGCUUGCUCAGACCCAAAACUCUGAAAAGGUCAGAGGCAAAGGCAUCCUGUUCCUGGGGGACCUCAGAGUCUUUCACAAUUACCCACAUUACUGGGCUUCUGGGGCGCUCUGGGGUGCGAGAAGAACUUGCCACCCCAAGAAGCUCCAUUGACGUCAAGUCCUAGAAACCCAGCCAGUGCCCUGAGUCAGGUCAUUCUGUGAACAUCCUCCUCUUCCCGUUCUGUGUCUCACUGGAAUGAAAUGCAGCUUGUGCUCUCUGGGCCUUAGUCUGCUCACCUGUGAGAUGAGGCUGAACUAGAUCAUCCUGAUGAUAUGUUCCAGGGCUGAGUUUCUAUGGAAAUGAAACAACCAAAUAACAGAGACAGGAAAAAAGAAAAAGAAAAAGACCUGCUAAAAGAAAUAGUUAUGAGGAAGGAGAUAAUUGUGUAAAGAGAGAAAAGCUGCCAAGAGGGAGAAGGAAGUCUUAUUGAAGACCAGGAAGAGCAUGAAUGCCCCUGAGUUCACACACACACACAUGAAUGCACAGAGACACACAUGCAUGUGUACAUACAUAUACCCACAUACCCACAUACUGCACACAUACACCAACAUACACACACAUGAGCACAUGCGAAUGAAUGUACUUGAUGAACACAUACAUACACAUACCCACGCACACACACAUGCACACACACACUUGAGCGCAUGUGAAUGAAUGCACUUGAUGAACACAUACAUACACAUACCCACAUACCCACGCAUGCACACCACACACACACACACACACACACACACACAAGUUCUUGCUCACUAAUGCACUUGCGGUGCAUUACCUGAGGGAAGUGGAGGUGAGUGCUCAGCUCAAGACUAUCUAAAGUCAAGGAGGAAGCUGACUUAUUCAUCAUUAAAGCGCCUCCCAGAGAACACAGCCCUGACAGGGCAGGAAGCAGGAUUCCGACACCAGGGUUGCAUUUUUAAAUGACAACUUGCAGGAACUAAUUAGGGUCCUACAAGAACUACAUUAAUCUCAGUGGCAGGCAAUGUCCCCAGUGUCAUAGCUAGACACAAAACAUCACUCCCACCACCAUCUCAACACUACCACCUUGGGGACCAAGCUUUUGGCACACAAACCCUAGGCUGGGACAGCAUGGAAAUUAUUUUCAAACCAGGAGAGCCCUCAAACUGUCUCUUCCGACAAUCUCUUUGGUUUUCAGCCUUACCCCUCCCAAACACCUGGCAGUAAUCAUGGAGCGCCUUCCCUUAGAGAUCCAUUACUGUCCAUCUUGGGCUUGAAGAGACUUCCAGGUCACCCUCUCUAAUGGCUCCCACUAGAAUAUAAGAGUGUGGUCAUUGAAUUGCUCAGACCUGCAGACCCGUACCCCCAUCCUGCUUAUCCCUGUACCUGAACAUGAGGACAGCAGAAGGGGAAGUUCACUUCCCCCACUGGUUUAGAAGUCUCACUGUGGUGGAGUGGACAGUCAAUGACUGCGGAUCUAAGCGCUGGUUCCAGGAGGCGGUUAGAGAGUUGUGUCAAAGAAGGAUGCUAAGUGAGGUCCAGAGCACUUAGGCCCAAAGUGACAGCGGGUCUGCCCUGGAGGAAGGGGCCUGCCCUGCUCUGUGUUUUAUUUCUAGCAUGGACUGGACAGAAAUGAGUAGAGCUUGUGCUUUGCCCUUUUGCCCAAAUUGCUCAACUUCCUUCAGCUCUACCACAUCUGUCUAUCUAUCUGUCUGUCUGUCUAUCUAUCUAUCUUUCUAUCUAUCUAUCAUCUUUCUAUCUAU
Myodes glareolus (Bank vole) is the source of this 2571-nucleotide non-coding RNA. The record is from RefSeq and is a predicted model, not a curated record. Lineage: Eukaryota; Metazoa; Chordata; Mammalia; Rodentia; Cricetidae.